CACUCUUCUCUGUUCUUCUCAUUUGCAAUCGCAUUGUCUGACACAUAUCUGGAGUUUGUAGCUAGAUUGUGAAACCCGAGUGAAAGAAGAAAUAAUUGAAUAUAAUUUCAAAGGCUGAAUGUUCGGCGUGUUCCUCGAUCCACGAGCAGGUAGCAGAUAGUGAGGUGAAAACCCGAUCCUCUGACUUGUGGCUCUCGAUGCGGUUUAGAGGAGACCAGAGGAAGAUGAAGGCCACUUUGAUGUCUCAUUCAGACGUCCGUUUGAUGUCACUCCGUUAUCCAGGAGCAAAGAUGGAUCCGCUGAGCCGGUUUCAUCCCCGGUGACAGAAUCUGCUUCGACAGACGAAGGCUUUUAAACACUGCUGAAAAAUGUCUACACGGCAGGUGUUUGCUGUUUGCUUUCAAUUCCCAUUAGUCUCUUCAGGUGGCUUUCUGUUCUGAACUGCAGAACUGAAUAGUGGAGAACUAAGGCCAGAAAUGGAUUCUACACAAGUGCACAGUGUAGACGUCAAUACUUGGCCAAGGAAUUACAUUCUUAACGUGGGCUACAGUGGCGUUUCCUUCAAAUAUCUGUGCCAUUAACCUAUAAGGUAUGUCUGAUGGCCCGAGGGCCCGUCGGGUCCCUGUAGUGGCUGAUAAAGGCUCUGUUGGGCUCCAGGCGUCCAGAGAUUUAACACUCCAUACUUCCGUCAUUCAGCACAGAUUCCAGCACUAUUCCCAGGUCCAGGCCGCACAGCGCCGGGGAAGCGAGAGAUUACGGCCAUGUGGGAAUCCAAGCAAGAUUAUAGUUCAUUUCCAGACAGGUGAAAAUGUGCUUACGGUUAGAGAGAGACAGAAAACAAACGACUUCUUCAGCUCCUCUUGUCUGAAGCGGCUUCAUUAGAGACGUAAGCCUUCAUGAAAUGCUAAUUCACAGCGUCUCCCUUCAAUUUGUUUCCUAGGAUCAAGAUCCUCUCUGAAUAUCUGGGGAGCCUGUUAAUAUUUGAGCAAACGGAUGUGUUUGAAUUACUUAAAGUCCACAAAUCUGCCUGCUCGAGAAGAUCUGAUUGAAAAUGUACUCGGUUUAAUUUGGUUAUGUUUGCAGGGAGCAUUUGCUCAAGAGGAAAGCGCUGUGUGUAGCUCCGAUUAUGAAUUCAAACGAAGUCGAGGGACAAACAUUUCAUUUUGCUUUCAUCUCUGUUUAAAGUGGGUGUCAGGAUCAACUCGUGUCACUUCAUGACAUCUCAUGAUUUUAUUUUAUUUUGUCGCUGACAUUGGUAGUCCCUGAAGAAAGGCGCACUGUUUACUCUGCAACUCAAGCAGAAUAACUUGAUUUUCUGUAGUAAAUGUUUGUGGAAGUUUGCCUUUGGAUUUUGGGGCAUUGCUAAGGUAGUUUUUGAGUUUUGGUUAUAUACACAU
Long non-coding RNA from Carassius auratus (goldfish), 1397 nucleotides. RefSeq lists it as uncharacterized. Lineage: Eukaryota; Metazoa; Chordata; Actinopteri; Cypriniformes; Cyprinidae. The record is from RefSeq and is a predicted model, not a curated record. The transcript has 4 exons.